AGAUAAGCCAUGCAUGUCUAAGUAUAAACGAUUUAAUCGUGAAACCGCGAAUGGCUCAUUAUAACAGCUAUAAUUUACUUGAUCUUGACACAAUCCUACUUGGAUAACUGUGGUAAUUCUAGAGCUAAUACAUGCAUUAAAGCUCUGACCUCACGGGAAGAGUGCAUUUAUUAGAACAAAACCAAGCGGCUUCGGCUGUUUCUGGUUGACUCAUAGUAACUGAGCUGAUCGCAUGGUCUUGCACCGGCGACGUGUCUUUCAAGUAUCUGCCGUAUCAACUUUCGAUGGUAGUGUAUCUGACUACCAUGGUGAUCACGCGUAACGGAGAAUAAGGGUUCGGCUCCGGAGAGUUCGCCUGAGAAAUCGCGAACACAUCUAAGGAAGGCAGCAGGCGCGAAAAUUACCCACUCUCAGCACGAGGAGGUAGUGACGAAAAAUAACGAGACCGUUCUCUUAUGAGGCCGGUCAUCGGAAUGGGUACAAUUUAAACCCUUUAACGAGUAUCUAUAAGGC
This 513-nucleotide ribosomal RNA is filed under the name unidentified nematode Sourhope farm. RNAcentral describes it as "SSU rRNA". It matches the Rfam family "Eukaryotic small subunit ribosomal RNA", at positions 41 to 553 of the family's 1831-position model. Lineage: Eukaryota; Metazoa; Nematoda. The record is from RNAcentral.